This 28-nucleotide non-coding RNA is filed under the name Trypanosoma brucei brucei. Lineage: Eukaryota; Euglenozoa; Kinetoplastea; Trypanosomatida; Trypanosomatidae. The record is from RNAcentral.
AUAUAGAGGGCAGUGGUCCUCACAGUAU